CGAAGCCCGUAAUUCCUUUAGGCC
RNAcentral lists this non-coding RNA (24 nucleotides) under Arabidopsis thaliana (thale cress). The record is from RNAcentral. Lineage: Eukaryota; Viridiplantae; Streptophyta; Magnoliopsida; Brassicales; Brassicaceae.